Cinara cedri is the source of this 256-nucleotide non-coding RNA. The record is from the annotation of a GenBank genome assembly. Lineage: Eukaryota; Metazoa; Arthropoda; Insecta; Hemiptera; Aphididae.
AAAAUGUUCAAAAUCAUCGGAUGACUUUUGUUCAUGAGUGAUUUGAAAUUAAAUUUAAACAAAAAUUGCAAAAAAAAUUACAGCACUUCAAAUUACAUAUUACCAAACUGCUCUCAGAAUCAUCUUUAGUCAAGUAAUGGUUUAUCGUUGCUUACAGAUAUAAAUGAAAUAACCUUGUGUAUCCUACCUUCCCAAAUUCUCACAUACAACAGUGGCCGCUCCCAUCCUCAGUAUCGGCUCUUUUUUUCUUUUUCUG